UAGGGCUCAGACCUCAGUGCUGCUGGAGGAGGAUACAUUGUGAAGUUAGAGACAUUCCUGUCCACCUUCAUCCCUCACUCUUAGGAAUGUGCUGGGUGGGCAGCACAAAAGGGCUUUGAAGAUGUCAGAGAAACCCCACAGAGACCUCCCCUAUGUAGGACAAUCCUCUGUCUGCUGCCCCUCCCAUGUCCAGAUGCAGGGGAGAAGGAGGGAGUGGAGGAUCCUGCCCAUCUGAUCUCCACUCCUUCCUGUCCUGAAGGCUCUUCUAGCUGCUACAGAAGUUAGAGCUGGCACCUUAGGGCCAGGAGCCAGACUCUUCAGGCCCCAAAUCCAACUCAGUUAUGAUGGCCCCAUUGGACAGAGUGGUGCCAGCAAGUGCCACGAGGGUUUUUCCUGCAGCCAACUGCAGUUCGUCAUUUUCUUGCUAGAAUAAAAAAA
Gavialis gangeticus (Gharial) is the source of this 438-nucleotide long non-coding RNA. RefSeq lists it as uncharacterized. The transcript is spliced from 2 exons. The record is from RefSeq and is a predicted model, not a curated record. NCBI's taxonomy places the organism in Eukaryota, Metazoa, Chordata, Crocodylia, Gavialidae.